RNAcentral lists this long non-coding RNA (844 nucleotides) under Oryza sativa (Asian cultivated rice). Its description in RNAcentral is "long non-coding RNA (OSAT_LNC000811)". Lineage: Eukaryota; Viridiplantae; Streptophyta; Magnoliopsida; Poales; Poaceae. The record is from RNAcentral.
AAACGUGCCAGACAUCAUAAUGAGGUGAUCAUUUUUUUAGAUAGGCAUCAUAAUCAGAUAGUUUGAUGUGCCAUCACUCAUAAUACCAUGCUAAUGCAGCACAUCUUUUUCGUGUAUGCUUUACGUCAAGUAUGAAAAAUUCCACGAGUAGGCCAGUCUGAUAAUAAGCUUCUGCUGCGCAUCUCCGACCUGUCCUGUGUGCCUUCCGUUCCAAGUUGAGCUAUAGAUAAGAAGUUUGGACUGUGGAUGUGCACAUAAGCACCCACCAACUCCACAAAAGCAAAAGCUCACCCACUUACCCCUGCAUUGGCUCUCAGCAUGAGUUGCAUCAGUUGCUAGUAGCUCUGAUGGGUUAUAAAGUUGCCUCCCAUUUGGAUGAGAGAUUGAGAGCACUCAGCACCAGUGGCAAUGUGGUUUCCACUGCCAGUGAUCGAUGCAUCUAGACUUCUCAUGAAGAACAGAGCAGUAUCAGUAGAGCACCAAUCAGUUAUUAGUAGUAGUACUCAGAAAGCAAUUCAUCUGAAUUUGGUUUGGUUCAAGAAGGAAUAACAUAACAAUCUCUUUAAGAAGAUAAGGAAAAGAGUAGGUUUUUGAAAAACUACGGAGACUUUUAUUUUUUGACGCAAAACUACGGAGACUUUGACCAAAAGUAUCACAAAACUAAGUAGAAACCCAAGCAAUAUUCUGAAAGAUAGAUAAAACAAGACACUGAAAUGCAGUCCUUUCCCAUACUUACGUAUGAAAACAGAGGCAUCUUGAGAAGAGCUCAGCUGGAUAUGGACAAAUGGUGAUAUGGAACCUCCUCAUUAACCCAAGCAAUAUUCUGAAAGAUGGAUAAAACAAG